This 328-nucleotide ribosomal RNA is filed under the name uncultured eukaryote. RNAcentral describes it as "partial 18S ribosomal RNA". It matches the Rfam family "Eukaryotic small subunit ribosomal RNA", at positions 1470 to 1796 of the family's 1831-position model. The record is from RNAcentral.
CCCUUAGAUGUUCUGGGCCGCACGCGCGCUACACUGAUGCAUUCAACGAGUGUACCUUGGCCGAGAGGCCUGGGCAACCUUUUGAACGUGCAUCGUGAUAGGGAUAGAUUAUUGCAAUUAUUAAUCUUGAACGAGGAAUUCCUAGUAAACGCAGUUCAUCAAACUGCAUUGAUUACGUCCCUGCCCUUUGUACACACCGCCCGUCGCUACUACCGAUUGAAUGGUUUAGUGAGGACUCCUGAUUGGCGCCGCCGCCCCGGCAACGGAGCAGCGGACUGCCGAAAAGUUGUUCAAACUUGAUCAUUUAGAGGAAGUAAAAGUCGUAACA